AAUGAACGCUGGCGGCAUGCCUAACACAUGCAAGUCGAACGAAGGCUUCAGCCUUAGUGGCGCACGGGUGCGUAACGCGUGGGAAUCUGCCCUCAGGUUCGGAAUAACAGCGAGAAAUUGCUGCUAAUACCGGAUGAUGUCGUGAGAACAAAGAUUUAUCGCCCAAGGAUGAGCCCGCGUAGGAUUAGCUAGUUGGUGGGGUAAAGGCCCACCAAGGCGAAGAUCCUUAUCUGGUCUGAGAGGAUGAUCAGCCACACUGGGACUGAGACACGGCCCAGACUCCUACGGGAGGAAGCAGUGGGGAAUAUUGGACAAUGGGCGAAAGCCUGAUCCAGCAAUGCCGCGUGAGUGAUGAAGGCCUUAGGGUUGUAAAGCUCUUUUACCCGGGAUGAUAAUGACAGUACCGGGAGAAUAAGCUCCGGCUAACUUCGUGCCAGCAGCCGCCGUAA
This 449-nucleotide ribosomal RNA is filed under the name uncultured bacterium. RNAcentral's name for it is "partial 16S ribosomal RNA". It matches the Rfam family "Bacterial small subunit ribosomal RNA", at positions 29 to 523 of the family's 1533-position model. The record is from RNAcentral.